CACGGAUCUUUCGGGAUCAGUGGCGGACGGGUGAGUAACGCGUAGGGAUCUAUCCAUGGGUGGGGGACAACUCCGGGAAACUGGAGCUAAUACCGCAUGAUACCUGAGGGUCAAAGGCGCAAGUCGCCUGUGGAGGAACCUGCGUUCGAUUAGCUAGUUGGUGGGGUAAAGGCCUACCAAGGCGAUGAUCGAUAGCUGGUUUGAGAGGAUGAUCAGCCACACUGGGACUGAGACACGGCCCAGACUCCUACGGGAGGCAGCAGUGGGGAAUAUUGGACAAUGGGCGAAAGCCUGAUCCAGCAAUGCCGCGUGUGUGAAGAAGGUCUUCGGAUUGUAAAGCACUUUCGACGGGGACGAUGAUGACGGUACCCGUAGAAGAAGCCCCGGCUAACUUCGUGCCAGCAGCCGCGGUAAUACGAAGGGGGCUAGCGUUGCUCGGAAUGACUGGGCGUAAAGGGCGCGUAGGCGGUUUAUGCAGUCAGAUGUGAAAUCCCCGGGCUUAACCUGGGAACUGCAUUUGAGACGCAUAGACUAGAGGUCGAGAGAGGGUUGUGGAAUUCCCAGUGUAGCG
RNAcentral lists this ribosomal RNA (571 nucleotides) under Gluconobacter cerinus. RNAcentral describes it as "bacterial SSU rRNA". It matches the Rfam family "Bacterial small subunit ribosomal RNA", at positions 65 to 680 of the family's 1533-position model. Lineage: Bacteria; Pseudomonadati; Pseudomonadota; Alphaproteobacteria; Acetobacterales; Acetobacteraceae. The record is from RNAcentral.